This 429-nucleotide ribosomal RNA is filed under the name Actinomycetes bacterium. RNAcentral's name for it is "Actinobacteria bacterium partial 16S ribosomal RNA". It matches the Rfam family "Bacterial small subunit ribosomal RNA", at positions 355 to 776 of the family's 1533-position model. Lineage: Bacteria; Bacillati; Actinomycetota; Actinomycetes. The record is from RNAcentral.
UAGGGAAUCUUCCGCAAUGGGCGAAAGCUUGACGGAGCAACGCCGCGUGAGUGAUGAAGGUCUUCGGAUCGUAAAACUCUGUUAUUAGGGAAGAACAAAUGUGUAAGUAACUAUGCACGUCUUGACGGUACCUAAUCAGAAAGCCACGGCUAACUACGUGCCAGCAUCCGCGGUAAUACGUAGGUGGCAAGCGUUAUCCGGAAUUAUUGGGCGUAAAGCGCGCGUAGGCGGUUUUUUAAGUCUGAUGUGAAAGCCCACGGCUCAACCGUGGAGGGUCAUUGGAACCUGGAAAACUUGAGUGCAGAAGAGGAAAGUGGAAUUCCAUGUGUAGCGGUGAAAUGCGCAGAGAUAUGGAGGAACACCAGUGGCGAAGGCGACUUUCUGGUAUGUAACUGACGCUGAUGUGCGAAAGCGUGGGGAUCAAACAGG